RNAcentral lists this ribosomal RNA (446 nucleotides) under uncultured bacterium. RNAcentral's name for it is "partial 16S ribosomal RNA". It matches the Rfam family "Bacterial small subunit ribosomal RNA", at positions 338 to 795 of the family's 1533-position model. The record is from RNAcentral.
CCUACGGGCGGCAGCAGUAGGGAAUUUUCGGCAAUGGGGGGAACCCUGACCGAGCAACGCCGCGUGAACGAAGAAGUUUUUCGUAAUGUAAAGUUCUUUUAACAGGGAAGAAAGAGAACUUUGACGGUACCUGAAGAAUAAGCUACGGCAAACUCGGUGCCAGCAGCAGCGGUAAUACGUAGGGGGCGAGCGUUAUCGGGAAUUAUUGGGCGUAAAGGGGGCGUGGAGGGCAUAGUAGUUUUUUUGGAAAAAUGUUGGGCUCAACCCAGUAGGGCAAAAGAUACUGCAAAGCUAGAGUAUGACAGAGGCAGGUGGAACUACAUGUGUAGCGGUAAAAUGCGUAAAUAUAUGUAAGAACACCAGUGGCGAAGGCGGCUUGCUGGGUCGAUACUGACAUUGAGGCACGAAAGCGUGGGGAGCAAACAGGAUUAGAUACCCCUGUAGUC